This 433-nucleotide ribosomal RNA is filed under the name uncultured bacterium. RNAcentral's name for it is "partial 16S ribosomal RNA". It matches the Rfam family "Bacterial small subunit ribosomal RNA", at positions 29 to 507 of the family's 1533-position model. The record is from RNAcentral.
AACGAACGCUGGCGGCAUGCCUAACACAUGCAAGUCGAACGAGACCUUCGGGUCUAGUGGCGCACGGGUGCGUAACGCGUGGGAACCUGCCCUUAGGUUCGGAAUAACUCCCCGAAAGGGGUGCUAAUACCGGAUAAUGUCUUCGGACCAAAGAUUUAUCGCCUUUGGAUGGGCCCGCGUUGGAUUAGCUAAUUGGUAGGGUAAAAGCCUACCAAGGCGACGAUCCAUAGCUGGUCUGAGAGGAUGAUCAGCCACACUGGGACUGAGACACGGCCCAGACUCCUACGGGAGGCAGCAGUGGGGAAUAUUGGACAAUGGGCGAAAGCCUGAUCCAGCAAUGCCGCGUGAGUGAUGAAGGCCUUAGGGUUGUAAAGCUCUUUUACCCGGGAUGAUAAUGACAGUACCGGGAGAAUAAGCACCGGCUAACUCCGUG